Molecule: ribosomal RNA, 253 nt
Filed under: uncultured bacterium
Lineage: Bacteria
Description: partial 16S ribosomal RNA
Rfam family: Bacterial small subunit ribosomal RNA
Source: RNAcentral
UACGUAGGGGGCUAGCGUUGUCCGGAAUCAUUGGGCGUAAAGCGCGCGUAGGCGGCCCGGUAAGUCCGCUGUGAAAGUCCAGGGCUCAACCCUGGAAAGCCGGUGGAUACUGCCUGGCUAGAGUCCGGAAGAGGAGAGUGGAAUUCCUGGUGUAGCGGUGAAAUGCGCAGAUAUCAGGAAGAACACCCGUGGCGAAGGCGGCUCUCUGGGACGGUACUGACGCUGAGACGCGAAAGCGUGGGGAGCGAACAGG